AGAACUUUGUGGUAGAAGGCAAAUGGUUGAGACCACGGACUUCAGCUCUAGGUGCUGGCAUCACACUCCAGAGGCCCGAUGAGCCCCACUGCAUCUCAGCAGAUUAGCUGGUGUUCGGCUGGUCUAUGUUGGACUCAGCUGAACUUUGUUCCAGGCUGCAGCUUGGGUUCAAAUCUAUUCCAUGUAUCUCUCAUCUUCCUGCCACCAGUAAGCUACCCAGGACAUGUGCUCUUCAUGGUAAUGACUUUCAUGGUAAUGGCAGCCAACAUAUGUCUUGGUAUGUGUUGAGAAAAUACGUUCACAUAAAUAGAUGGUAAUGGAAGCUGUUUCAUUUUAGCAAGGUUUCUCAGUUCUUUGAACCUCAGGUGCCAAUCUUAAAAGAAAAAAGAGUAGUUUGAACUUGAAGUAAACAGAAGAAAAGAAAUAUUAAUGACCAGAGUAGAAAUUAAUGAAAUAGUAGACAAAAGACAACAAGGAAAAUCAAUGAAACCAAAAACUGAUUCUUUGAGAAAAAUCUAUACAGAUGUUAAGCAAAAAAAGAGAGAAGACCCAAAUUACCAAUAUCAGGAAUGAGAGAGGUGACAUCACUACAGUUUUUACAGAUAUUAAAAGGAUAAUAUGUAAUGAAUAUUAUGAACAACUUAAUGCCAAUAAAUUUAACAACUGAGGUGAAAUGGACAAAUUUCUUGAAAGACACAAACUAUCAGAGCUCUAAGAGGAAAUAACAACCUGCAUAAACUUAGGUCUAUGAAAAGUUUUGAAUUUGUAGUUAAAAUCCCUCCCACAAAGAAAAUGGUGUCAGUAGCCAGAUCACCUUGGUGAGGGCAAGUCUGUGUUGUUGAGCCCAUGCGCAGUCUCCUUCCCUGUCACCAUGGCCACCUUGUAAAUGGGUCUGUUGACCAAGUGCCACAGUAUCUGAUGAAGAGGCCACCUGAUGUCCAUAGGUCGGGUCAUCUUGUCCUCCUGAUUACUGAGAGUCUCGUCUACAACAGAUGCUCUUGGAUAAGCAGUUAUGUGGGACGUGAAUAUCUUUACACUAUAUAUGUUGCAGGAAGUCCAUCUUUCCCCUAGACCUCCUUGUUGCCAAUCUUCUAAUCUUGUUCUUUCUAAAUUCCUGACCAG
Molecule: long non-coding RNA, 1122 nt
Filed under: Equus caballus (horse)
Lineage: Eukaryota; Metazoa; Chordata; Mammalia; Perissodactyla; Equidae
Description: lncRNA (ENSECAG00000046246.1)
Source: RNAcentral